AAAUAUUUAAUAGAUAUUUAGAAUAAAAUGUAUUAUAUUAUUAUAACAUAAAGUAAAUAAAAUAAAAGAAAGAAAUAAACAGAAUAGGCAAGGGACGAAACAGAGAAGAAACAUGGGAGAAAGAAAGAAAGAAUAAGAAAAAGAGAAAGAAAGGAAAAACUAGGGUUUAAGGUUUUAAAGCUUUAAAGGUAAGUCAAUCAAGUCGUUUUCUUUUAAAUUUGAUGUUUUAGAAGUCUUAGAACAAAGUUUUGUUGAAUUUAAACUAAAAUUUUGUAAGUUCUUAGAUUUUCGAAUAUGAUUCAUGUUGAACAAAAAAAUGAAUUAGGGAUUUAAAUGAUAGAAUUUCUAGUUAGAAUAAAAGGAUUAAAUUGUGAAGUAAGCUAUAAGUUUUAUGUUGUAGGGACUAAAUUGAGGAAAAUUUGAAAUUAGUGAAAUAUGCUGAAAAUUUAGUAGUUAAAUUUGAGUUUAGAUAAAAUUUGAAUAGAAAUAGAAUGUGAAUUAAAUUAGAAAAGUAGAUAAAUCUAGUUAGGAUUAAAUUGUAAUUAAAUUAUAAAAUUGGAUAGAAAUUUUAUUAUUAUUGUAAAAUUUGUGUUGUAAUUAAUUAUUUAAUUAUUUAAUUUUCGUAGCUAAUAAAGAAUUCGAGGUAUCGACACAAAAAGGGAAGGAAAAGGUUGUCGAGGAGUAACUGUGAAAUUCGGGUUUGUAUUACUAUAAUUCAAAUUAUUUAUUAUUUUAAUGCUAUAUUUAAAUUUAUAUGUACGGUAAGUGAAAUAUAAGGUAAGUAUUAUUAUUAAGGUGAAAGAAAUUCAAUUGAAUAAUGGAUAUAUGUGUGGAAUUGAAAUGAAUAUUGACUUGAAAAUGGAAAAGUAAAAUUUAAUUGAUAUGUAAAAAUGAAAAGUAUGUGUUGGUAUUGAAUUGUGUUUUGAUUAGUGAAUGAAAAAGUAUAAUUGAUAUUGAAAAUGAAUUCUUGAAAUAAAGGUAAAAAUUGGACUGUGAAAUUGAAAUACCCUAUUAACUAGUCGGACUAAGUCGGAUAUAGUUGGCAUGCCAUAGGAUUUGGAAGAGUACGGGAUUUAUCGGCUUUGUCGAUCAGGCACUUUAUGUGUCGUAUCUCAGGCACUUUAUGUGUCGUAUCAGGCACCCCGUGUGUCGUUUUAGGCAUAUAUGUGUCGUAUACUGAUCAGGUACUAUGCACCGUUUUAGGCACAAUGUGUCGUAUUGGUGUGUUUGGGUUGGAAUCCGUGUAUCUAUCAAAGUCUAGAUAGUUAAUAGGGUGAAUAAUUGAAAUGAGAAAAUCAAAUGAAUUUGAUCGAUUGUAGUAUUGAAUAUGAGGAAAUUUAAAUUUGUGGAUUGAAAUUGAGAUUGAAAACAAAAGGCAUGAAUUUAAUGUUCAAGUAGUGAUUGAAAUUGUUACAUGUGAUAUGUGAUUGAAAUUGAAGAAUAACUAUAUAUUUUAUUGUUAUUGUUAAUUGAUGAAAGUUUAAGAAUUAAUUGAUAAUUAAGAAGAUGGAUAGUUACAUGCUUGGUAAUUCUAUUUCUUUACUGCUAUUAUAAUUUGAAUUAUGGUAAUACCACUGAGUAUAAAAUACUCAGCAUACGGUUGUUUCCUUGCGCAGGUUAAAAAGGAGUCAGAGUCUCAGUUCAGCAUCCAGGACAAUCCCGACUCUAGCAUAAAGAUUUUGGUGAUGUUUUCUUCCUUUAAGUGAAAGUGGCAUGUACA
This 1720-nucleotide long non-coding RNA is filed under the name Gossypium barbadense (sea-island cotton). RNAcentral's name for it is "long non-coding RNA (GBAR_LNC020693)". Lineage: Eukaryota; Viridiplantae; Streptophyta; Magnoliopsida; Malvales; Malvaceae. The record is from RNAcentral.